This 751-nucleotide ribosomal RNA is filed under the name Pantoea agglomerans. RNAcentral's name for it is "bacterial SSU rRNA". It matches the Rfam family "Bacterial small subunit ribosomal RNA", at positions 56 to 799 of the family's 1533-position model. The record is from RNAcentral. Lineage: Bacteria; Pseudomonadati; Pseudomonadota; Gammaproteobacteria; Enterobacterales; Erwiniaceae.
UGCAGUCGGACGGUAGCACAGAGAGCUUGCUCUCGGGUGACGAGUGGCGGACGGGUGAGUAAUGUCUGGGGAUCUGCCCGAUAGAGGGGGAUAACCACUGGAAACGGUGGCUAAUACCGCAUAACGUCGCAAGACCAAAGAGGGGGACCUUCGGGCCUCUCACUAUCGGAUGAACCCAGAUGGGAUUAGCUAGUAGGCGGGGUAAUGGCCCACCUAGGCGACGAUCCCUAGCUGGUCUGAGAGGAUGACCAGCCACACUGGAACUGAGACACGGUCCAGACUCCUACGGGAGGCAGCAGUGGGGAAUAUUGCACAAUGGGCGCAAGCCUGAUGCAGCCAUGCCGCGUGUAUGAAGAAGGCCUUCGGGUUGUAAAGUACUUUCAGCGGGGAGGAAGGCGAUGCGGUUAAUAACCGCGUCGAUUGACGUUACCCGCAGAAGAAGCACCGGCUAACUCCGUGCCAGCAGCCGCGGUAAUACGGAGGGUGCAAGCGUUAAUCGGAAUUACUGGGCGUAAAGCGCACGCAGGCGGUCUGUUAAGUCAGAUGUGAAAUCCCCGGGCUUAACCUGGGAACUGCAUUUGAAACUGGCAGGCUUGAGUCUUGUAGAGGGGGGUAGAAUUCCAGGUGUAGCGGUGAAAUGCGUAGAGAUCUGGAGGAAUACCGGUGGCGAAGGCGGCCCCCUGGACAAAGACUGACGCUCAGGUGCGAAAGCGUGUGGAGCAAACAGGAUUAGAUACCCUGGUAGUCCACG